Molecule: long non-coding RNA, 1622 nt
Organism: Zingiber officinale
Lineage: Eukaryota; Viridiplantae; Streptophyta; Magnoliopsida; Zingiberales; Zingiberaceae
Exons: 3
Source: RefSeq, a predicted model, not a curated record
CCUACCAACUCACCAACUCACGCAUAGUCUUCUCCUCCCUCUCCCCUCUCCGCGAAUCUCUCCUUCGAACUCCUCUCCGUCCAACCUCUCUUCCACAAACCCCUCUCCACGAAUCUCUCCUCCGAACACCUUCAAACAGUGAGGUUUUUUAGCACCAGUCGCGCCUUGCCUUGAAAGCCUUCACUGCCGCUCGAAGCGAGCAGUAGUACGAUGUCGAUCUCAACCUCUACGUGUCUCCACCUUGUCCAGGUGCGGAUCGCGGCAGGAGAUCGAUACGUUGGUUGCUGAUCUAAUGGAGGAGGGAUGACUCUCCACGGAGACCUCCAAGGGGGUUCCCUAAUGGCCGAUUGAUGGUGAGGAGGAGAGCUAAUCGGCGAGCCGAUCAGCGGUGGUGUAGAAGGUCAAGAUUGGAUUUUACUUCGCCACGUGGUGAGCGUUGAACGUGGUGUUCAACAUCUACAACAAGAAGGUUCUUAACGCCUUCCCCUACCCUUGGCUGACCUCCACACUCCCCCUUGCUGCCAGCUAGCUCCCUCAUGUUUUAGGUCAAGUUUGAUUUAACCUCUUCAAAGAACAUGUUGAAAUGACAAAAAAGAUUUGUGGCAAUGCAAAUGUCCGUUACGCAUGGCUUGCUUCCUCCAAGGAUGCGGUGGAUGAGAUGAUGUCUCAUGGGGUUCUGAAGCAACCUGUGCAAAAAUGACUUUAUGGAAAUGGACUUCAUCUUGCCCUUACAAAUUGCUCUGAUAUCUGCAUUGCGUAAGCUUUGUGAAGAUGCUUCGACAGUUAUGCAGGAUCUAUAAAAUCUUGAAGUUUUGAUCUGGAUAGGCGAGGACUUGGAGAAAUGGAAUCUUUCAUAUGAAGAGGAAGAGGAAAUUGUUAGUGCAAUAACUCUUACACUCAAUACAAUUGUUAACAAGGAGUUGAAGAAGAGUUCACUGUCUAGAUUACUUUCUUCUAGCUACAAAGCCAUUGAGAAACUUGUAUGCUAUUUAGCUUGCAUUUUUAAAUUGUAAAGAAAGUGAAUCUCAUGCUUUCUAGAAUUCUAGUUCAUCUGACAGCAUUUUUAAAUUACAAGUACCUCUCAAUGAUUAUGUAGGUUGUUUAGUAGAAGAUCGAUGUUGAGGAAUUAUUAUACAUGAUCACAUGGAUAAUUACACACUUUAUGAUAUCUAUAUUAUAUAUAAUAUUGUCAAUAUUGGUUACAUUGCUGUGACAUCCAUCGUUUAUAUAUUGUUUAUACUUUACAGACGUUACACAGGAAAUUUUGUUUUUUUUUGUUGAUUGUUGACUAAAUUUUCCUAAUUUUCUUUAACGUACGAAAAUUUCUUUUGCAUAAUACUGAUGGUAUUGUUUUCUGUGACAGAUACAUAGUGGUAGGUGUUUUGUCUCAGUCUCAAGCCGUCAAUCCAUUUUGAUCAAUAUAUCUCAGUCUCAAGCCUUCGAGGCCGGCUAGCUAUUUUGUGCUUUUUUUUUGUUUUAAAUUUGAAUGUCACUAACUACUUUGAAACAUAAAUAUUUAGUCUUUGUGUAUAGUUGAAUUCUCCUGUAAAUACUAAUACUUUGUAGUUGAAUUCUAUUGUUUGGUACGAGUUUGAAAUCAUUAGCUGAGCUAAUUAAUGCUA